RNAcentral lists this ribosomal RNA (642 nucleotides) under Boophis narinsi. RNAcentral's name for it is "partial 16S ribosomal RNA". It matches the Rfam family "Bacterial large subunit ribosomal RNA", at positions 667 to 1739 of the family's 2925-position model. The record is from RNAcentral. Lineage: Eukaryota; Metazoa; Chordata; Amphibia; Anura; Mantellidae.
CCUAGCUAGUCUACCAAGCAGAAUGACUUUUAGUUUGCCCUCCCGAAACUAAGUGAGCUACUUUAAGAUAGCCCUAGAGCUAACCCGUCUCUGUUGCAAAAGAGUGGGAAAAUCCUAAAGUAGAGGUGAUAUACCUAUCGAACUUAGAGAUAGCUGGUUUUUUAAGAAAAGAAUUUUAGUUCUACUUUAAAUUUUAUAUUAAACAAAAAUAUACCUAAAUUUAAAAGCUACUCAAAUAAGGCACAGCUUAUUUGAAAUAGGAUACAACCUAGACCUCAGGGUAAGAUAAAUUAAAUUUUGAUAAGUGGGCCUAAAAGCAGCCAUCUUUCAAAAAGCGUCAUAGCUUAGUAAGCACAAUUUGACUAAUACCAGUACUCACCUCUAACCCUUAUACACUAUUAAAAACCCCAUAAUAUUAUGGAAGCUACUAUGCUAGAACAAGUAACAAGAAAAAGACUUUCUCCAAAAAUGUAAGCUUAAGCCAUAAUAGACCUGCUACUGGCAAUUAACACCCAUAAACCCACUGUAACAACUUUCACAAGAAAACUUUACAGCCCCCGACGUUAAACUUACACCAGCACAUUAAUGGAAAGAUUAAAAGAGUAGGAAGGAACUCGGCAAAUAUAGACCCCGCCUGUUUAC